AAGACUAUAGACCUGCGGAGUACCUGCGGAAGGAUCACUCACAAUAAGUGUUUUAUGGCACUUUAAUUCCAUAUCCACCUUGUGUGCAACGUAGUUCGUUUUUCGAACAAAACAUCAACAUUUUAAUUAUCAACAGAUCGUCUGAAGUAUUAUAUGAAUAAAUCAAUUCAAAAUACAACUUUUAACAACGGAUCUCU
RNAcentral lists this unclassified non-coding RNA (197 nucleotides) under soil metagenome. RNAcentral's name for it is "partial contains 5.8S ribosomal RNA, internal transcribed spacer 2, and large subunit ribosomal RNA". The record is from RNAcentral.